RNA transcript from Parasteatoda tepidariorum (common house spider), 3852 nucleotides. RefSeq lists it as uncharacterized. Lineage: Eukaryota; Metazoa; Arthropoda; Arachnida; Araneae; Theridiidae. The record is from RefSeq and is a predicted model, not a curated record.
UAUAACUUAAAGAAACUUUUUCCUAAGUGUUUAAGAUUUCGUAAAAUUUGACAUUCACUCUUUUAUGAACUAAGUUAAUGCAAAAUGGAAACUAGCAGUCGUCUGCAGGUUUUAACUUGAAGACUUAAAACGCUUGUAGCUACCUAUUUCUUCACAAUUCAAGGCUAUCUUAGUUGACCAAUUAGCCUUAAGAAGUUCUGUUCCUUAACUUGGUCACAUGACUUAAAAUGGCCAAUAAGCGAUUAACGUUCGAAAUGCGCAUAACGUACGCGUAAUAAUAACAAUAUGGCUGGCAUUAGCACCAGUUUUAGGGAAGGUGAAAUAGAAUAAUAAUAAAUGGACACUAAAAUAUUGUUUUGAACAUGAAAUGAAUCAUUAAAGUUUGCUUAGAAAUGGCAUCUGGUAAAGCAGAUACAGAGGAAUGUUAUAUUUGUGGUUUUGUAUGCACCUCCAGGCGGAUGGUGGCGCAUAUAAAGAGUCAUACACACGUUGAGAUUUUUGAGUGUGAAAUAUGCGGAGAUCGUUUUGCUUCAAAAAAAACUUUGCAGAAGCAUUAUAUAACUCAUAAAACACAUUUCAUAUGUGAACAUUGUAACAAAAAAUUUGUAGAUCCCGUACGAUUGAGAUCGCAUAUAUGUUUUAAUCCAGAAGAAAACUAUACUUGUGAAACCUGUGGCAAAGAAUUUGUUCAUCAAAGUCGUUACAUGAAACAUGUUGCUACCCAUUCUGAAGAGAAAGUUUUUACUUGUAAAUAUUGCUCCAAGAGUUUUCAACAUAAACGAAAUCUUACGCGACAUAUGACAACUCAUUCUGAACACAUUGAAGAAGGGCAACAAAUAGACGAAAUUGAUCAAACCUACUCUUGUGACGUAUGCAACAAAGAAUGCUCUAACAAAAGUCAAUUGGAGAGACAUUACAUGUCACACUCUGACGAAAAGCCGUACAUAUGUUUAGUAUGCAACAGAGGUUUCAAAUAUAAAGGAGAUAUGAAGUCGCAUGAGAAACUUCAUUUUCAACAGAAAGGACCCCAUGAAUGUGCAAAGUGUGGGAAAUGCUUUAGUCGAAGAUCUAAUUUGAAAGUGCACUAUAAUAUGCAUUUACGGCGGGAGUUGGGUUUACCUACCUUAACUUUUCACAAUGGCAAGACAUUCACUUGUGACGUAUGUAAUAAGAAUUUCAUUUCUGAAAAGGUUCUUACUCAGCAUCAAGUUACUCACACAAAGGAAAAGCCUUAUGCUUGUCAAUACUGUGAGCAGAGGUUUUCUCACGAUUCUUGUUUAAAACGACAUUCUUAUCUUCAUACCGAAGGAGCAUAUAGAAAAAGACCCAAGUAUUCGAAAAAUAGCGAAGUUACAAGUGGUCCUGAUGACGAAGAUGAUUCUCGGUCAUAUGUCUGUCAUGUGUGCCAGGCUACCUUUGAAGAAGAAAUUGAAUUACGCGUACAUAGGAAAAGUUUUUGGCGACUUCAAAAUUAUAAGUGUUGCAAGUGUUUUCAAGUAUAUAGGUGUAAAAAGAAACUUAGAGAACACGAAAAAGUUCACGAUGUUAGCUCCACCUCAAGUCCACUUGUUUGUGCCCUAAGGGUCGAAGGUAGAAACACUGAAUCGGAAGGUGACACUAGAGAUGCUGAUGUGGAAUAUGAAGAAUCAAGUUCGAGUAUUUUUAUUGGCACUGUAUCUAUGGAUAGUACUGAAUCUGAAACUGAUACCAGAGAUGUUGAACUGGAAAGUGAAGAAUCCUGCUCAAGUCAGACUGAGCAUGCCCUGAGAAUCGAGACUGAAUCUGAAAGUGACAGCAGAGAUGUUGUGGUAGAAGAUGAAAAUUCAAGUUCUAGCACUCAGAAUUAUCAAAGUAUUUUAAUUAGUUAAUGUUUGGCCUAUGUGAUAGGAAAAUGUAUUUAUCAAGUUUGAUGUUUCUACUUUUGUUUAAUUUUUAUAUUUUCUUGAUAGUAUAGUUGAACAAUGAUUUUAUUUUAUUUUGAGAUAGUGUUAAGAAGAUUUCCAUAUCCGCAUUAGUAAUUACACCAAAAUAGUUAUUAAGUUUUGGUAACUUCCAGGCAGUGGCAUGUAUUGAACUGAUAAAUAAAAUCAGAUAAUAGGGAAAAUUCAAAAGUAAAACUCUUAUCUGCUGUCUGGCUAGCCACUAUAUAUUUUUCUCCUGUAUAUUCUACUAGGUUGAACAACUAGGCAAUAUAAGUUGGCUUAAACAGGAGUUAAAACUCGAGCACUUUUAUGUUCAAAACCAAUAACCUGUGAAUAAAGGAUGUGGAUGUGCUGUAUCGUUCGCUUGCUUGAUGCAUAACUUGUCAGAGUUUUAUCCUGAAUUCCUUAAGGUACUGUAUAUAUAAAUAUUGAGAAAAAUGAAGAGGUUGUUACUCUACUUGAAUCUUUGCCAGAUCAGUUUCAAAACAAGAUCUUGCAAAAAGUCAGUGUUUUUAACUCAAAGCAUGAAGAAUACUGCUUUUUCCCUUUUUCUAUCUUUGGCUGAUUAUUUAUUAAAAUUCCGAUAAGUUAUUUGUGUAUGUAUCUUUAAUUAUCACGAAGUGUAGUUGCCUGAUAUUUAAUACUUAUGCUUACAAUCGAAAUUAAAUAUGAACAGUUCAGAGGGUAAAAUAAUGAAAUAUUUUUGUUAAUAUUGCUUCAUUAUUCUUAUGUUAAAGAAUUAUUGUUUUGCUUGCAUUUUGUAUUAUUCUUAUAAAUAUUAUUUCAAAAUUAUUAAGUUGUUCAACAUUUUAUUGUUUUGCAUACUUAUUUUUAUGACUGUUUUGCAUGCAUUUUAAUGUUUUGAUAAAUAUUUUGUUUAAAUAUUAUUUUGCUGUCUUCCGAUUGAGUGACAACUAAUAAAAUCAGUGGAUUAUGUACUCUGCCGCUUUUAAAGAUUAAAUUUACAAUAUGCAUGCUAAAAGCAUCUUUUAAUGAAAUCAUCCAUAUUUUUUUAAUGAAAUCAUCCAUGCUAUUUUUAAAAAUAAAGAUAAUCCAAGUUUUUUUUAUUUUGCUUUCCUGGUUAUACCUUCCACAUUUCUUUUCAAAAUUUAUAGAGUAGUAAAUUUAUACCAUUCGUUAUCAAAAAGCACUUAAAUUGUACCAUCCAUGAUUAAGAAGAACUGAAAUUAAUUGGUGCAUAUUACAUAUCUUGAAAAAGAUUUAAAGAUAAGAUUUAAGAAAAAGAGGAAAUGAGGUUGAAAAAAUUUAAAUACAUAAAAUUAUAUAUUUAUUAAUAAAGGGGGAUUAAAUGCCCUGCUUAUUCAAUGAGGUAAACUGUAGGACCAAAUGAUAACAGUUCUGUUAAAUUGAUUUGCUCUGUUCUCAGUACAAAAAGACCAGCACAUAACUCAACAAAUCUUUUUAAAUUUUAUUACAAUGUAAAUUUUUAAUUUUCUAUUUCAACACUCAAAAUAUGAAUUUUUUUUAAAUAAUAUCAUAACAAAUUUAAAUGAUAAUAGGUAAAAUGAAUAAUAUGCAUUUAUUUUAAUUUUAGUAUAAAUAUAUGUUUGCAUAUUAAUGAAUGUUGAAACUUUCUAUAAUGAAAGGAAUUUUCUCUGCAGUAAUCACUGUUUUAGGGAUCUGAACAGUGUGAGGCAUUCACAACAAAUAACAAUAGUAAAGCAAAUUGAAGGACCAAAUGGUAUGGCAGUGCAAAAUGUAAGUCUCAUAAGGAUACAUAAUUAGAUUUAAAAUGCUGUUAGUGCAAUUAAAAAAUUCUUGAUUUUGAAAUAUUUGUAAUAAUAUUUUUUGACUUACUGUCUCUAUCAUGCUACCUAAGCAUCUAAAAUAUCGUACCCAAAUUUCUUACAUAUUUCCACCAUACAUUUUUUAAUAUGUACUAUUUCAAAAUAAAAAAUAUGAACUUAAA